AGGCUACACAGCGAACCUGUGUAAUUCGUACAGCACGCUGCCAUACACCCGGGCCAGGAGUAUAUUUAACACGGCAGACCAAACCCCAUCAAACCCCAUAUGUGACGAUAAACUCGUUCCGGGCUGGUAUGCCAUGGAGUAUUUUGCGUCCAUUCCUACGUCCUGUCCAGCUUCCUUUAGUUGUGGAACCCUCCUCCCUGUAUGGAUAAAUGGCAGUAACCCGGGCACGACUGAUGGACCCGUCACUAUGCAGGCUUGUGUAAACUCGGGAGUCGCUACGUCCUGCUGCUCGUCAGUAUUCGACAUCGGAGUCAGGAACUGUGGCUCGUUUUUCAUAUAUUUCCUCAGACCAACCCCUGGAUGUCCGGUAGCUUACUGCUCAGAUUUUAAAGAAUUGCGCAGCACUACAGUCGGUACAACUCUCACAACAGCCGGAAGUACUCUGUCCAGUGGUCGUACACAAGGCACGCCGCAAUCCACCGCGGCCACAAAACCACCCACAAAACCGUCCACUGUCGGACCACACUGGAUCACCUUCCCACAUUAAACAGAUUUUGCAGAACACAAGAACAUUUUAUCAUCAAAUAAAUGAUAAUUAUUGA
This is a long non-coding RNA of Pecten maximus, 602 nucleotides long. RefSeq lists it as uncharacterized. The record is from RefSeq and is a predicted model, not a curated record. Lineage: Eukaryota; Metazoa; Mollusca; Bivalvia; Pectinida; Pectinidae. The transcript has 3 exons.